GACGAACGCUGGCGGCGUGCUUAACACAUGCAAGUCGAACGGUGAAGCGCCUUCCUUUUUGGUGGGUGUGGAUGAGUGGCGAACGGGUGAGUAACACGUGAGUAACCUGCCCCCUUCUUCUGGAUAACCGCAUGAAAGUGUGGCUAAUACGGGAUAUUCUGGGUCUGUCGCAUGAUGGGUCUGGGAAAGAUAUUGUUUCGGUGGGGGAUGGGCUCGCGGCCUAUCAGCUUGUUGGUGGGGUGAUGGCCUACCAAGGCGGUGACGGGUAGCCGGCCUGAGAGGGUGGACGGUCACACUGGGACUGAGACACGGCCCAGACGCCUACGGGAGGCAGCAGUGGGGAAUAUUGCACAAUGGGCGCAAGCCUGAUGCAGCGACGCCGCGUGAGGGAUGGAGGCCUUCGGGUUGUGAACCUCUUUCGCCAGUGAAGCAGGCCUGCCUCGUUUGUGGGUGGGUUGACGGUAGCUGGAUAAGAAGCGCCGGCUAACUACGUG
This 494-nucleotide ribosomal RNA is filed under the name uncultured bacterium. Its description in RNAcentral is "partial 16S ribosomal RNA". It matches the Rfam family "Bacterial small subunit ribosomal RNA", at positions 28 to 507 of the family's 1533-position model. The record is from RNAcentral.